GAUGAACGCUGGCGGCGUGCCUAAUACAUGCAAGUCGAGCGAACAGACGAUGAUCUUGCUCCUCUCACGUUAGCGGCGGACGUGUGUGUAACACGUGUAUACCCUACCUAUCAGACUGGUAUAACUUCGGGACACCGGAGCUUAUACCGUAUAAUCUAUUGCACCGCAUGGUGCAAUAGUGAAAGACGGUUUUUCUGUCUCUUAUCGAUGGAUCCGCGCCGCAUUAGCUAGUUGGUAAGGUAACGGCUUACCAAGGCAACGAUGCGUAGCCGACCUGGGAGGGUGAUAGGUCGCAAGGGAAGUGAGACAGGGUCACGACGACUGAGGGAGGCAGCAGAAGGGAAUGGGCCGCAAUGGGCGAAAGCCUGACGGAGCAACGCCACGUGAGAGAUGAAGGUGUUGGGAGCGGAAAAAUCGGUUAUUAGGGAAGAACAAAUGUGGAAGGAACUAUGCAGGGCGUGACGGUAACGAAUCAGAAAGCCACGGCUAACUACGUG
This 497-nucleotide ribosomal RNA is filed under the name uncultured bacterium. RNAcentral describes it as "partial 16S ribosomal RNA". It matches the Rfam family "Bacterial small subunit ribosomal RNA", at positions 28 to 507 of the family's 1533-position model. The record is from RNAcentral.